Molecule: ribosomal RNA, 498 nt
Filed under: uncultured bacterium
Lineage: Bacteria
Description: partial 16S ribosomal RNA
Rfam family: Bacterial small subunit ribosomal RNA
Source: RNAcentral
AUUGAACGCUGGCGGCAUGCCUUACACAUGCAAGUCGAACGGUAACAGGUCUUCGGAUGCUGACGAGUGGCGAACGGGUGAGUAAUACAUCGGAACGUGCCUAGUAGUGGGGGAUAACUACUCGAAAGAGUGGCUAAUACCGCAUGAGAUCUACGGAUGAAAGCAGGGGAUCGCAAGACCUUGUGCUACUAGAGCGGCCGAUGGCGGAUUAGGUAGUUGGUGGGAUAAAAGCUUACCAAGCCGACGAUCUGUAGCUGGUCUGAGAGGACGAUCAGCCACACUGGGACUGAGAAACGGCCCAGCCUCCUACGGGAGGCAGCAGUGGGGAAUGUUGGACAAUGGGCGCAAGCCUGAUCCAGCAAUGCCGCGUGCAGGAUGAAGGCCUUCGGGUUGUAAACUGCUUUUGUACGGAACGAAAAGCCCCGGGUUAAUACCCUGGGGUCAUGACGGUACCGUAAGAAUAAGCACCGGCUAACUACGUGCCAGCAGCCGCCGUAA